This 127-nucleotide small RNA is filed under the name Yersinia enterocolitica. RNAcentral's name for it is "RtT sRNA". It matches the Rfam family "RtT RNA". Rfam says of the family: This family represents a bacterial cis-regulatory element known as RtT RNA. The record is from RNAcentral. Lineage: Bacteria; Pseudomonadati; Pseudomonadota; Gammaproteobacteria; Enterobacterales; Yersiniaceae. RNAcentral also lists the same sequence under 1 other name.
AUAGCUUCAAUCUGGGGAAGGUGAGAACCUUCGACAAGGUUCGCGCCGAGCGUAGCGAGACAACAACGCACUGCGUUGGCCCGAAGGGUGAGGAACGAAGUGACGAAUCAUCCUUCCCCCACCACCA